RNAcentral lists this ribosomal RNA (382 nucleotides) under Bacteroides ovatus. RNAcentral describes it as "bacterial SSU rRNA". It matches the Rfam family "Bacterial small subunit ribosomal RNA", at positions 1 to 364 of the family's 1533-position model. Lineage: Bacteria; Pseudomonadati; Bacteroidota; Bacteroidia; Bacteroidales; Bacteroidaceae. The record is from RNAcentral.
UUUAUUGAGAGUUUGAUCCUGGCUCAGGAUGAACGCUGGCGGCGUGCUUAACACAUGCAAGUCGAACGGGGUGCUCAUGACGGAGGAUUCGUCCAACGGAUUGAGUUACCUAGUGGCGGACGGGUGAGUAACGCGUGAGGAACCUGCCUUGGAGAGGGGAAUAACACUCCGAAAGGAGUGCUAAUACCGCAUGAUGCAGUUGGGUCGCAUGGCUCUGACUGCCAAAGAUUUAUCGCUCUGAGAUGGCCUCGCGUCUGAUUAGCUAGUAGGCGGGGUAACGGCCCACCUAGGCGACGAUCAGUAGCCGGACUGAGAGGUUGACCGGCCACAUUGGGACUGAGACACGGCCCAGACUCCUACGGGAGGCAGCAGUGGGGAGUAU